GACUGAAGGAGUCAUGGAGGAGGAGGAGGAGGAGGAGGGGGGAGAACUUCUGUAAUAUGACACAUGAACAUUCAACAUUUAACUCCACAACAACAACAACAACAUGAGUGAGAGCGACCUCCUCCUCCUCCUCCUCCUCCUCCUCCUCCCUCUCUCCCUCCUCUCC
RNAcentral lists this microRNA precursor (166 nucleotides) under Xyrichtys novacula (pearly razorfish). Lineage: Eukaryota; Metazoa; Chordata; Actinopteri; Labriformes; Labridae. The record is from RNAcentral.